This is a long non-coding RNA of Helianthus annuus (common sunflower), 1193 nucleotides long. RefSeq lists it as uncharacterized. The record is from RefSeq and is a predicted model, not a curated record. The transcript has 3 exons. NCBI's taxonomy places the organism in Eukaryota, Viridiplantae, Streptophyta, Magnoliopsida, Asterales, Asteraceae.
CGCACACAUUUGAUUUCAAAAAGCCUCUUAUGGCCAUUCAUCUUAUGGCCACUCGCACACAUUUGCAUUUGGCUAAACAAUCCUCCUCUUGUGUGUGCUCAUGGCAGUGAUGCUUCCAAGGCCUUCUCCCUUAUUCAUGUAAACUAUUGGAUUUUUAAGAGUCCGACCCCACUAAUUUGGAUUUUGAGAGUCCGACCCCCACUGAUUUUCCAUUCAAACUCCGCCACUGGCUGCUUGCAAUAAUGCUCUUCGUUCUCAAGUAGUUUGCAUUGAGAUUGAUGUUUCCCGUUCUACUCAUGGGGUUUUGUUUGCUCUUCAUAACAGGCUAGUUUCAUAACACGUUAUCAGCACGAGACUCUAAGCACGAAGUACUGAUAAGUCAUCUCGUAGUGACCAACGUUCGCUCAAUCUAGAAUCUCAAAACGCAUUCCACAUAUCCCCUCAUCUUCAUUCUUGGCCAUACUACAGGGAAAAGCAACAAGUCAUGUUAUGAGGUCAGUGCUUCGAAUUUUGUUAACUCGGAAUUUAUAUAAAUGCAUAAGUUGCAACUUCCAUGUUAAUAUUCUUAAUUUUUCUUUCACCACUUUGGGCUAAGAUGCUUUUAAUUUAUUUUGUUAAUACAUGCUAAGGAUUCAUCAAAAUUUUGAAAAGAAAUUUGAUCCGUUCAACCAUUCGGAAGUUAAAUUUUAGAUUAUCAAUAUAUAUGAAAUUAUAGUUUAUUUUACUAUAAUCCAUAUUUUCUGAAGCAAACGGUUUGUUUUUAAAUAUUAUAUAUAUAAGUAUUAUUGUCUCUUUUAAAUUUACCCCUUACUGGGUAUGAAUAUAUGUGUAGAGAUGGUAAAUAAAAAUUUCGGUCACUGAUGUGUGAUGAUAUAACGAUGAAUAAUGAAAGAUAAUAUUUACUAAAGAAAAACUAUAUAAUAGUUUUAAAAAAAAUAUAAACUGUUUCUUUUUUUUUUUCGUUAAGUCAAAUCUUCUAAUUUUUCUAAAUAGUAUGUUUCCAUAAUUAAUUUUACAAGCAUCAAGCUAGCUCUAAUGGAUAAUUACGUAAAUAAAAUAUUUUAUUUACAUGUAAUAUUUGAAUUUGAAGUUAUUAGGCAGAAUAUUUUAUUUGUAAAGACAUUCAUAUAGGAAGUACAUGUAUGCUAUUCAUGAAGUAAUACAUGUAUACGUGAAGUAUUCUUUAUGGAUAA